This 240-nucleotide unclassified non-coding RNA is filed under the name soil metagenome. RNAcentral describes it as "partial contains 5.8S ribosomal RNA, internal transcribed spacer 2, and large subunit ribosomal RNA". The record is from RNAcentral.
AACCUUAUGGACCUGCGGGCGUAUACCUGCGGAAGGAUCAUUACAUGGCGGAGAAGGUGGGCACCUGGCCAAAAAAAACUCCAGGUUGUCAUGCCUUCACGCUCCUCCACCCUUGUCUAUUUGUACCUUUUGUCGUUCCCUCGGCGGGUUUCGACCCGCCGGCGGUAACCAUUGAAAACCCUUUUUGCAGUUUAGCAUCCAAUUCUUCUGAUCAAAUAUCAAAUCGUUACAACUUUCAAC